AGAGUUUGAUCAUGGCUCAGGACGAACGCUGGCGGCGUGCUUAACACAUGCAAGUCGAGCGGAAAGGCCACUUCGGUGGUACUCGAGCGGCGAACGGGUGAGUAACACGUGAGUAAUCUGCCCUUCACUUCGGGAUAGCCCUGGGAAACUAGGAUUAAUACCGGAUAUGACGACCGUCUGCAUGGACUGGUUGUGGAAAGUUUUUUCGGUGGAGGAUGUGCUCGCGGCCUAUCAGCUUGUUGGUGGGGUAAUGGCCUACCAAGGCUUCGACGGGUAGCCGGCCUGAGAGGGUGACCGGCCACACUGGGACUGAGACACGGCCCAGACUCCUACGGGAGGCAGCAGUGGGGAAUAUUGGACAAUGGGCGGAAGCCUGAUCCAGCAACGCCGCGUGAGGGAUGACGGCCUUCGGGUUGUAAACCUCUUUCAGUAGGGACGAAGCGCAAGUGACGGUACCUACAGAAGAAGCACCGGCCAACUACGUGCCAGCAGCCGCGGUA
Molecule: ribosomal RNA, 500 nt
Filed under: uncultured Actinomycetes bacterium
Lineage: Bacteria; Bacillati; Actinomycetota; Actinomycetes
Description: bacterial SSU rRNA
Rfam family: Bacterial small subunit ribosomal RNA
Source: RNAcentral